GGAGUUGGUAGCUCAGUGGUAGAGUGCAUGCUCUGCAUGUAUGAUGUCCUGGGUUCAGUCCCCAGCUUCUCUCCA
This 75-nucleotide transfer RNA is filed under the name Dallia pectoralis (Alaska blackfish). RNAcentral's name for it is "tRNA-Ala". It matches the Rfam family "tRNA". From Rfam's summary of the family: Transfer RNA (tRNA) molecules are approximately 80 nucleotides in length. Their secondary structure includes four short double-helical elements and three loops (D, anti-codon, and T loops). Further hydrogen bonds mediate the characteristic L-shaped molecular structure. tRNAs have two regions of fundamental functional importance: the anti-codon, which is responsible for specific mRNA codon recognition, and the 3' end, to which the tRNAs corresponding amino acid is attached (by aminoacyl-tRNA synthetases). tRNAs cope with the degeneracy of the genetic code in two manners: having more than one tRNA (with a specific anti-codon) for a particular amino acid; and 'wobble' base-pairing, i.e. permitting non-standard base-pairing at the 3rd anti-codon position. The record is from RNAcentral. Lineage: Eukaryota; Metazoa; Chordata; Actinopteri; Esociformes; Umbridae.